This 1431-nucleotide precursor RNA is filed under the name Betula luminifera. RNAcentral describes it as "precursor microRNA MIR156a". The stretch from base 1168 to 1252 matches the Rfam family "mir-156 microRNA precursor family". The record is from RNAcentral. Lineage: Eukaryota; Viridiplantae; Streptophyta; Magnoliopsida; Fagales; Betulaceae.
AGUGACAACCCAACAACAACUGUUCACAAUGGGGACCUAAAUAGAAAUAAUAAUAAUUGUUAAUUAUAAUGGUAAUUAAGGAAUAUUAAAAUCUCAAAGCUGUAUCUGUUGAGGGGGUACGGAUUUGGUAGGGUUAGUUAACUUCUGAAGUUCCGGUUUUGACCCUGGUACGGGGUUAGCAGUCAGAGCUUGCCACGUCAUGCUACGUUAGAGAAUGAUUAAGUUAAUUAAUCCGUGCAAGGCGCAUAGUGAUUGGUGCGGUCGCACAUCCGAGUCUGUCUCCCCUGGUGACGCAGUCCCAUCAGCCCCAAUUUCCGAGCAGACGCCAUAAAGGACAAGCGGGCGCAAUUGGGCUGACCCCAUCAUUAUUUCGAUCCGAGGGCAGGGAAUGGUCUGUCACCGGAGUCUAAUCAACGACGGUGAGUCCAUCACAAGUCACCGACCCAUGAUUAACAACACGUACCCUGGGAGAUAUCUGAGCCACCCAAUCACAUCCGUAUACGUCGCACUCUUCUUGCUCUCUCUGUGCGUCUCUUUUUAUUUUCUCCUCGAAAAAGCCUUCGUGUACUCUUUUGUCUUCCCCAAAAAAACACCCAACGAACCCCUCACACGCGCGCGAUUUACACACGUACCGAAUCAUGAUGAGAAUUCAUUCAUUAGAGACUUUAAAGAGUCAAGAGGACUCCCUUCUAAUUUCUAUCCAACCAUUAAUAAUGCUCUCCCAGCGCUCUCUCUCUCUCUCUCUCUCUCUGUAACAACUUUCCUUUCUUUUUUUGAGAAGUCACUUCCUUCCUUUCCUUAUUUGGUCGUUUUUGGUGCAAUUUCUUGGGUGGCCGUCGGCACUGUUUGAUUUGUUCUGAGAGAAGUCAGGCUCGGGCGGGGUGUCUCCGACACCUGUACGUCAUGCAUGAGAGAGAGGAGCAGAGAAUACAAGGGAGGCAGGAGUGAAUGAAGAGAGAGAGAGAGAGAGAGAGGGGAGUUUGUUUGUUUGUUUUUGUUUGUUUCGUUUUCUUUUUUCAUGGGUUUGUGGAUUUUUUUCUGGGUCUGAAAAAACCCUAAAUCCUCAUUGAAAGUUUCCCAGUUUUAGACCAAAAGAGAAUGGGAAUAUGGGAUUUGGGUUGCUUUCCCUGAAAUGGGUCUCAGAUCUGACUCUUUUUUUUUUAGAAAUUGACAGAAGAGAGUGAGCACACAGAGGCCAUAUGGUAUAAAGUCUAUACUAAUGCUUUUGGGUGCUCACUUCUCUUUCUGUCAGAUUCCAGUCCCGGAGGAGCCCUGCCAUUGUUCCAGAUCCUAUCUUUUUUCUUUUUUGAUGAAUAUUUUUCUCCUUCAACUUCAACAGCUGCUCAAGAAGAAGAUAACAGUGCAUCUAGAGUCUAUUGUUUGAAUUUUGACGAAUAAUUACACCUGUUAACUAAUUAUAUAUAAUUAUAU